Non-coding RNA from Stegodyphus mimosarum, 73 nucleotides. The record is from Rfam. NCBI's taxonomy places the organism in Eukaryota, Metazoa, Arthropoda, Arachnida, Araneae, Eresidae.
GCCUUCGUGGUGUAGUGAUCAGCACACUCGGUGCGUAUUCGAGGUGUCCGUGGUUCGAGUCCCGGCGAGGGCA